GACGAACGCUGGCGGCGUGCCUAAUACAUGCAAGUAGAACGCUGAAGAGAGGAGCUUGCUCUUCUUGGAUGAGUUGCGAACGGGUGAGUAACGCGUAGGUAACCUGCCUUGUAGCGGGGGAUAACUAUUGGAAACGAUAGCUAAUACCGCAUAACAAUGGAUGACACAUGUCAUUUAUUUGAAAGGGGCAAUUGCUCCACUACAAGAUGGAACUGCGUUGUAUUAGCUAGUAGGUGAGGUAAUGGCUCACCUAGGCGACGAUACAUAGCCGACCUGAGAGGGUGAUCGGCCACACUGGGACUGAGACACGGCCCAGACUCCUACGGGAGGCAGCAGUAGGGAAUCUUCGGCAAUGGGGGCAACCCUGACCGAGCAACGCCGCGUGAGUGAAGAAGGUUUUCGGAUCGUAAAGCUCUGUUGUAAGUCAAGAACGGGUGUGAGAGUGGAAAGUUCACACUGUGACGGUAGCUUACCAGAAAGGGACGGCUAACUACGUG
RNAcentral lists this ribosomal RNA (497 nucleotides) under uncultured bacterium. Its description in RNAcentral is "partial 16S ribosomal RNA". It matches the Rfam family "Bacterial small subunit ribosomal RNA", at positions 28 to 507 of the family's 1533-position model. The record is from RNAcentral.